GAAAAGGAGAGAGAUAGGAGGGGUAAGGAAGGGAAGAGUGAUAAAUUGGUUGAUGGCGAAGACCUGCGAGCAGUGAAGCAAGUAUCUGAAAAAACUGAGUUGAAGGCACGCGAUCUAUUGCAAAGUACUGAAUUGGAAAGCCUUCCUGAUAAACGAAUUAGGAGAAAACAAGAUGGUUCUGGUGAUGGGGAUAAGCAUCAGGAUGAUAUUGAAGACAUCAAUGAUAGACGAUUUUCCUUGAGGGAGGAUGGUAGGCCAAAGGAUGAGAAGCAUAAGGACGAGAGAUAUAGAGACAAGUACCGUGAAGACAAGUAUAGAGACGAGCGUGCUCUAAAAGAUCACACUAACAGCAGGUCUGAUGAUAAAAACUUGAGGGAUG
RNAcentral lists this unclassified non-coding RNA (379 nucleotides) under Hevea brasiliensis (rubber tree). Lineage: Eukaryota; Viridiplantae; Streptophyta; Magnoliopsida; Malpighiales; Euphorbiaceae. The record is from RNAcentral.